AACAGGAUUAGAUACCCUGGUAGUCCACGCCGUAAACGAUGUCGACUUGGAGGUUGUGCCCUUGAGGCGUGGCUUCCGGAGCUAACGCGUUAAGUCGACCGCCUGGGGAGUACGGCCGCAAGGUUAAAACUCAAAUGAAUUGACGGGGGCCCGCACAAGCGGUGGAGCAUGUGGUUUAAUUCGAUGCAACGCGAAGAACCUUACCUACUCUUGACAUCCAGAGAACUUAGCAGAGAUGCUUUGGUGCCUUCGGGAACUCUGAGACAGGUGCUGCAUGGCUGUCGUCAGCUCGUGUUGUGAAAUGUUGGGUUAAGUCCCGCAACGAGCGCAACCCUUAUCCUUUGUUGCCAGCGGUUCGGCCGGGAACUCAAAGGAGACUGCCAGUGAUAAACUGGAGGAAGGUGGGGAUGACGUCAAGUCAUCAUGGCCCUUACGAGUAGGGCUACACACGUGCUACAAUGGCACAUACAAAGAGAAGCGACCUCGCGAGAGCAAGCGGACCUCAUAAAGUAUGUCGUAGUCCGGAUUGGAGUCUGCAACUCGACUCCAUGAAGUCGGAAUCGCUAGUAAUCGUGGAUCAGAAUGCCACGGUGAAUACGUUCCCGGGCCUUGUACACACCGCCCGUCACACCAUGGGAGUGGGUUGCAAAAGAAGUAGGUAGCUUAACCUUCGGGAGGGCGCUUACCACUUUGUGAUUCAUGACUGGGGUGAAGUCGUAACAAGGUAACC
Molecule: ribosomal RNA, 730 nt
Filed under: uncultured bacterium
Lineage: Bacteria
Description: bacterial SSU rRNA
Rfam family: Bacterial small subunit ribosomal RNA
Source: RNAcentral